UGGGGAAUUUUGGACAAUGGGCGAAAGCCUGAUCCAGCAAUGCCGCGUGUGUGAAGAAGGCCUUCGGGUUGUAAAGCACUUUUGUCCGGAAAGAAAUCCUUGGCUCUAAUACAGUCGGGGGAUGACGGUACCGGAAGAAUAAGCACCGGCUAACUACGUGCCAGCAGCCGCGGUAAUACGUAGGGUGCAAGCGUUAAUCGGAAUUACUGGGCGUAAAGCGUGCGCAGGCGGUUUGCUAAGACCGAUGUGAAAUCCCCGGGCUCAACCUGGGAACUGCAUUGGUGACUGGCAGGCUAGAGUAUGGCAGAGGGGGGUAGAAUUCCACGUGUAGCAGUGAAAUGCGUAGAGAUGUGGAGGAAUACCGAUGGCGAAGGCAGCCCCCUGGGCCAAUACUGACGCUCAUGCACGAAAGCGUGGGGAGCAAACAGGAUUAGAUACCCUGGUAGUCCACGCCCUAAAACGAUGUCAACUAGUUGUUGGGGAUUCAUUUCCUUAGUAACGUAGCUAACGCGUGAGGUUGACCGCCUGGGGAGUACGGUCGCAAGAUUAAAACUCAAAGGAAUUGACGGGGUCAUAGCUGUUUCCU
RNAcentral lists this ribosomal RNA (586 nucleotides) under uncultured bacterium. RNAcentral describes it as "partial 16S ribosomal RNA". It matches the Rfam family "Bacterial small subunit ribosomal RNA", at positions 355 to 1375 of the family's 1533-position model. The record is from RNAcentral.